RNAcentral lists this long non-coding RNA (5972 nucleotides) under Gossypium raimondii (Peruvian cotton). RNAcentral's name for it is "long non-coding RNA (GRAI_LNC004936)". The record is from RNAcentral. Lineage: Eukaryota; Viridiplantae; Streptophyta; Magnoliopsida; Malvales; Malvaceae.
UUCUUCUUGAAAUUUCGGUGGGAGACAGCCAUGGAAGAGGGUUUGGAGCUGGUAUUCCAUAUUUUGGCUUCACGUAAGUUUAAUUCUUGCUUUGUCCUUGAAAUUUUUAUAUUUUUAGAUUUUUACAAUUAGGUCCAACUUAGUAUUCUACUAGUUUCUCAUUUUGCUGAAAGUUUUGGAAGAUACUAAUGAUAAGUUCAUAUGAUUGUUGUUAUUUUUGAUGAAAUUGAUAUGUUAAUGGAUGUUUAAAGGUGUUUUAUUAAAGAAUUUUAGAUGAAAACAUGUUUUAGGGAUUAAAUUGAAAAGUAUUGAAAUCAUGGAUAAAUUCUAAAAUUUCAUGGAAUCUAUGGGCUGUUAUUGAUAUGUAUGAGAAAUACUAGGCUUGAAUUAAGGAUUAUAUUGCAAGAAUUUCAUUUUCCAAGCCUAGGGACGAAAUUAUCAUGUAUUAAAAGUUUAGAGUCAAAUUGGUAAUCAAUAUAUUACACUAAACAGUUUUGGGCAGCAGCAGUGGUCUGACUUUGAAAAAUCACCAAAAAUUGUGGGAAUUAAAUUAGAGGGUGAAUAAAAUAUGAAAUUAAAGCUUAUUAAGUCUAGUUUCUCAUAGAAGAAACGGUGUAAGUAAUGAAAUUGUAAAUCAUGAGAUAUAAUAGAUUUUGUGAGACAAGGUCAGAAUGAAUUCGGGUUCCCCUGUUCUGAAUUUGGAAAAUCAUUAAAAAUUGUAAAAAAAUGAUUAUGAGUUAUAAUUUAUAUGGUUAGAAUCCUUAAUGAGUCUAUUUUUAUAAGAAACAAACUAAAACAUCAUCCAAAUUCUGUACAAUGAGAUAAUUAAUUUUUAGUGAAGAGUGGUCGGAACUGUCAGACAGCAAAACAGGGGAAACUUUAAAGAAUAAACUGUACUAUUUGGCUGAACCAAAAAUUCUGAAAAUUUUAUGGUAAGAAGGUAUGUGAGUCUAGUUUUAGGUAAAAUUAACGGAUCUUAAUUUGGAGCUCUGUAUCUCCGGAUAAAAAUAAUUUAGUGACUCUGACUCGGAUAAACAGCUUUGAAUAUACAUGUGAGUGAAUAGUAAAAUUAUAGCUAAUGUUGUUUAAGUGUGUUAUACACAUUAAGGAUGUGGAAUGGAGAGGAGGAGGAGGAAAAUUGGGAAGUAUAUGAAUGAUUUGUGUAUAAUUGGUCAUAUGCUUGAUUAUAAUUGAUAAACGAUGAAAUAGAAAUAAUGCUUAUAUUUGUGCAUUAUUGGUUUUGGUUUAAGCUCAUGUGUGAAAAUAAAGUUUCAUAGUAUGUGUGUAUCGUAUAUUCGGUAUAUGAUUUGGCAUGAAAUAAUUUCAUGAAUGGUUUAUCAUGUGGUUAGUUCCAAAAAAGAGUUAUGUUUAAAUAUACUAGCUUGUGACUAUGGUUGAAUGCUAUGUUUAUAUCUUGUGUGAUGUGUAUAGGAAACAAGUGUGGUAAGAUAAUGAAAUAGUAAGUUCAUAUGACUGAAAUUUAAUGAUUAAAUGUUAAUUUCAUGAAUUAUAUAAUGUAUGAUGAAAUGUAUUUAGUGUUGAAAAGAGAGUAAAAUAAAAAUGCGGAAAUUGAAUAAAUGAUCAAAUUGAGCGGAACGCCGGAUUUGAGUACUUCUGAUCAAGUGACAAAGUGAUAGGUGAUAGCUUCGGCUNNNNNNNNNNNNNNNNNNNNNNNNNNNNNNNNNNNNNNNNNNNNNNNNNNNNNNNNNNNNNNNNNNNNNNNNNNNNNNNNNNNNNNNNNNNNNNNNNNNNCAAGUGACAAGUGGAAAGUGAUAAGUGAUAGCUUCGGCUACACUUAUCUGAUCAAGUAACAAGUGGAAAGUGAUAAGUGAUAGCUUCGGCUAUACUUAUCUGAUCAAGAGACAAAGUGAUAAGUGAUAGCUUCGGCUACACUUAUCUGAUCAAGUGACAAGUGAAAAGUGAUAAGUGAUAGCUUUAGCUACACUUAUCUGAUCAAGAGACAAAGUGAUAAGUGGCUACACCUAUCUGAUCAAGAAACAAAGUGAUAAGUGGCUACACUUAUCUGAUCAGGGACAAGUGAUAAGUGAUCAUACGUAAGACCAUAGUUAUACUAUGGCAAAGUGAAAGUGAAGUACUCAAUUUUCCAUAACCGUUCCCUAAUUUGAUUAAGGAUGGUAAGUGACAAAUGGGCCCAAAUGAAUUAAAGUAAAUGAAUAAGUGGUAGUGUAUUUAUACCAGGAUGAUGUUGUUAUUUAAGCUAAAGUGAUAUUUUCAUUGCAAAAUUAAGAAUUUCAUAAAUGUGUUAUUGAAUGAUAUAAUCGAUAAACGUUGAGUUAAAUGGUAAAUACGUAUUAGUGUUAAACUUAGUGACAUUGAAUUGUACGUGAAUUAAAUGGAAAUUGCUAGUGAUAUGAUCUAAAUUGUGAGCAUGAGAAAUUGCGAAUUAAAUGAAAUGGAAAUGAAGCAUUGAAUUGUAUGAGUAUGUACCGGGUCUCGUAGGCCCUAAUUAUUAUGAUUAUAAUAUUUUGAGGAUAUAUUGUGAAAAGUUAUAGAAGCAUUCUAAUUAUUUUGAAAGUUUUAAUUUAGUUGAAAUUUUUAUAACUCACUUAAAUACGUUUACAAGCGUAUGUGUUUUGGUAAUGCCUCGUACCCUAUUCCGGUGUUGGAUACGGGUAAGGGGUGUUACAUUUAGUGGUAUCAGAGCUACGAUUUAGUCGGUUCUCGGACCGAACGUAGCAUAUGUGAAGUUUGGAAAUACAUGCCAUUAUAUAACUUGUGAUAGUGUGAUAUCUCUCGACUCUGGUGAGAUUUGUUUUAUUCAUAAACAUGAAUGCUUUCUCAACUGAGCUAAUUUCGAUAAUGUUGAAAAUGAUACUCAAGUAUAUGAAUAAGAAAAGAGAAAAAAAAAGAACUAAAAAGUCAAAUUGAGUAGAACACAGGAAUGAGUACUUUCGUUCAGUGAUAUGUGAUGAAUUGACCGAAAAUACCAUGGUUUGACCAUGGCAACAUGUGAACAUGUGAUUAUGUGAUUCCGUGUAAGACCAUACCUGGGCUAUGGCAUCGGUAUGUGAUUUGUGAUUACGUGUAAGACCAUAGUUGGACUAUGGCAUCGAGAAAACGAAGUACUCAAUUCCGUAAGACGUUCUCUAAUUUGACAAAUUAUGGUAAGUGUUAAGUAAAUUUUAUGUGAUAAAACAUAUUGAACAGUGAAAUUGAGCUCAAUUAUGUGAUCUCACCAUUCAGAGAUUAUGUUUGUCAGGUUAUGUUAAUAUGUGUAUGUGAAUGUAAGUGACAGAAAUUAAACAGAUAAUGAUAUUGAGCUCAUUUACAUGAAUCUGCCAUUUGAAAUUGUGAUUGACAAAAAGAAGUAAUGAUUUGCAUGCUUAUUUCUGGUUAUCUGUAUUUAUUUGAAAUACAAGAAAAUGAUGAUUAUUGAUAUGGCUAUAAAGUGAACAAAUAGUGAAGUUAAAAAAUCAAAUGGGUGAGAAAUAAAGCUUGGAAAAUAGCGUGAUUUUUUUUCUAUACUGGUAGACACAUGGGCGUGUGACCCCUAUAUAUGAGAAAAUAUAUGAAUGAACUAGGUGGUUACGAUGGUAUUACAUUGAUGAUGAAUGUUAAGUCUUAUAUAUAUUCUUUUAUCCUCAGAGUUAUGUGUAUAAUUAUUCAGUUUCUAAUGGAGUUCUUAUGUUAUGAGAAUGUUAGCUAAUUAUGAUGUCAGACAAAAGCCCUAUUAGACUGACUGGUUUGUGAUCGUUAUUGUUCUAUUUUGCAUGCGUAUUUAGAAAGUGUAUUAUUUUGUUACGAUGAAAUUCCAGAGCUAAAAUGUGGUGACUCUAGUGAUUUGCAUGCUAAAAGAAUAUUGAAAGAUUGUGUGUUUGAGUUGCAUUCUCAACAUGAAGAAAAGAGUACUUUGAUAUGUUAAUGUUCGAUAGUUGAAAUCAACUCAAUUGUUUUAUUAGAGUGAACUGAUUUAUCGAUAUGAGAUUUGAGUUGUAUGUAUUUAAGCAUGUCUAUUCAUGAGUAUGAAGACAGAUAGUCGGAAAAAAAAAUCUAUAUUUCAGAAAGUAUGAUAUAAAGAUAUAUUUAUUGAAAAGAGAUAUACGAGAUUAAAUUGAUAAGUGAUUCUGGAAAGUUAGUGAAAGUGUUUCAUGAGAGUUGGAAAUAACUUGUUUUGGUAAGAUUUUCGAGGACGAAAAUCCCUAAAGGGGGGAGAGUUGUAAUAGCCCGAUUUUCAAAAAUGUCGAAAACAGUGGUACGAGAUCACCAAAUUCAGAAAAUAAGCUCGUAAAUUUUAUUAUCAAUAAUUACGAGCCAAAUAUGAUUUUUAAGAGAUUUUUAAAUUAGUAAUUUGUAUUUUAUAAAAAUUUAUUAAGUCAAGAAAUUGAGAAAAAGAGGUAUCGAGACUUCGAUAUUAUAAACCGAGCCGUAAAUAUUUUUAUAAAUAUUUACGGAGUGUCAAUAUGGUAGUGUUAAAGUUUCGUCAGAAAAUUUUAAUGUUUUGGCAGUUAAUUAAUUAAAAAGGACUAAAUUGAAAAGAUGCAAAACUUGCUAAAGUGAUUAAAUAGCUUAACAAUUAAAUAAGGAAGGACUAAAAGAGAAAAUGGACCAAUUUAGGGGCUGAGAUGACAUACCGUUAAAAAAAAUCUAAGAUUUUUAUGUAUUAAGGACAAAAUUGGAAUUACAAUAAAGUUUAUGUGGCCAAAUUUUAUUUUAAGCAUUUCAAGACCAUUUCUUCUUGAAAUUUCGGUGGGAGACAGCCAUGGAAGAGGGUUUGGAGCUGGUAUUCCAUAUUUUGGCUUCACGUAAGUUUAAUUCUUGCUUUGUCCUUGAAAUUUUUAUAUUUUUAGAUUUUUACAAUUAGGUCCAACUUAGUAUUCUACUAGUUUCUCAUUUUGUUGAAAGUUUUGGAAGAUACUAAUGAUAAGUUCAUAUGAUUGUUGUUAUUUUUGAUGAAAUUGAUAUGUUAAUGGAUGUUUAAAGGUGUUUUAUUAAAGAAUUUUAGAUGAAAACAUGUUUUAGGGAUUAAAUUGAAAAGUAUUGAAAUCAUGGAUAAAUUCUAAAAUUUCAUGGAAUCUAUGGGCUGUUAUUGAUAUGUAUGAGAAAUACUAGGCUUGAAUUAAGGAUUAUAUUGCAAGAAUUUCAUUUUCCAAGCCUAGGGACGAAAUUAUCAUGUAUUAAAAGUUUAGAGUCAAAUUGGUAAUCAAUAUAUUACACUAAACAGUUUUGGGCAGCAGCAGUGGUCUGACUUUGAAAAAUCACCAAAAAUUGUGGGAAUUGAAUUAGAGGGUGAAUAAAAUAUGAAAUUAAAGCUUAUUAAGUCUAGUUUCUCAUAGAAGAAACGGUGUAAGUAAUGAAAUUGUAAAUCAUGAGAUAUAAUAGAUUUUGUGAGACAAGGUCAGAAUGAAUUCGGGUUCCCCUGUUCUGAAUUUGGAAAAUCAUUAAAAAUUGUAAAAAAAUGAUUAUGAGUUAUAAUUUAUAUGGUUAGAAUCCUUAAUGAGUCUAUUUUUAUAAGAAACAAACUAAAACAUCAUCCAAAUUCUGUACAAUGAGAUAAUUAAUUUUUAGUGAAGAGUGGUCGGAACUGUCAGACAGCAAAACAGGGGAAACUUUAAAGAAUAAACUGUACUAUUUGGCUGAACCAAAAAUUCUGAAAAUUUUAUGGUAAGAAGGUAUGUGAGUCUAGUUUUAGGUAAAAUUAACGGAUCUUAAUUUGGAGCUCUGUAUCUCCGGAUAAAAAUAAUUUAGUGACUCUGACUCGGAUAAACAACUUUGAAUAUACAUGUGAGUGAAUAGUAAAAUUAUAGCUAAUGUUGUUUAAGUGUGUUAUACACAUUAAGGAUGUGGAAUGGAGAGGAGGAGGAGGAAAAUUGGGAAGUAUAUGAAUGAUUUGUGUAUAAUUGGUCAUAUGCUUGAUUAUAAUUGAUAAACGAUGAAAUAGAAAUAAUGCUUAUAUUUGUGCAUUAUUGGUUUUGGUUUAAGCUCAUGUGUGAAAAUAAAGUUUCAUAGUAUGU